GCGAGUAUGGCGAAAUCGGCAGACGCAAGAGACUUAAAAUCUCUCGGGAGCGAUCCCGUAUCGGUUCAAAUCCGAUUACUCGCACCA
RNAcentral lists this transfer RNA (87 nucleotides) under Candidatus Borkfalkia faecigallinarum. RNAcentral's name for it is "tRNA-Leu". It matches the Rfam family "tRNA". From Rfam's summary of the family: Transfer RNA (tRNA) molecules are approximately 80 nucleotides in length. Lineage: Bacteria; Bacillati; Bacillota; Clostridia; Christensenellales; Christensenellaceae. The record is from RNAcentral.